CGAGCUCUUUUCCUCUUCUUCCUUCUCCAAAAAAAAGAGGCCUAAUGGGCAACGGGUCGCAUCCAAUCAGCUCAGGAUUACGAAGUCAGGUUGUUGCCAAAAAAGGAGACGCAUCGCUUCAUGCCGAGAAUUGUGAUGACUACUCAAAUGCUUGAGGAUUAAUGAGAAUUUUUUUUUGCCUUCAGGUGUCAUUCAUAAAUUGCAGCAAAAGUACAGGAAUGAAAUGAUCCAAAGUUCGUCCUUGCUACAGAAUGGCAUGCCUCACAUACCUUAUGAAUGACUCACACGACUACCCCAAUGGAAUGACGAGCUCGAAAGAACGAAACUGGGCCUCCUGCGCUUUGGAUGAGAAACAUAAAAGCUUCGUCCCUAUCGCCAGGAAAAAUGCAUGAAAUGAUGGGAAUUAACGAACACUGCGGGAGAAAACAAGUCAUUAAUCGCUCGACGUUCCUUCCUCGAUACCACUUGAGUAAUUAGUAAUUAGUUCUUACUUGCCAGUAAAAUGUGUUCAUUGCCAUUCCAUAAGAUCAACGAAGUCAUUAAAAAUCAAUCAAAUACAAGCAUAACAAACAAUGAGCUAACCAAUCUCAUAACUCAUUGGAUUCAACUUCGACGAGAGGAGGGAGACCCAUUUCCCGCAUUGUCGAUCUCGCUGUCUUCCGUCACGAUCAAGGGUUCAACAUCAUCAUCAUCAUCAUCAUCCACUCCCUCGAUCUCGUCCUCCUCGCUUAGAAUUGAAUCGCAGCCGAGCUGUUUUCUGAAUAUAAAAACGAGGAUAUCGAACACCACCAAAGCGACGAGAGCAGUGCCAACCAGGUAUGGAAUGUAAUCGUAAUUCCACUUCUUACGACAAUCAUACUUCAAAUGAGUGAAAUGUUUGGCGAAUCGAUUGUGGCGGAAUGCUUCCA
Molecule: long non-coding RNA, 908 nt
Organism: Tigriopus californicus
Lineage: Eukaryota; Metazoa; Arthropoda; Copepoda; Harpacticoida; Harpacticidae
Exons: 2
Source: RefSeq, a predicted model, not a curated record